Non-coding RNA from Microcebus murinus (gray mouse lemur), 1797 nucleotides. NCBI's taxonomy places the organism in Eukaryota, Metazoa, Chordata, Mammalia, Primates, Cheirogaleidae. The record is from RefSeq and is a predicted model, not a curated record.
CCGGCCACCGCCGCAGCGGCCACGCGCGACAUUAGGACUGUGGCCGAUGCUAAUAAACCACGCUACCGUCAGAGAUUCGUGGGGUAGGGAAGUCGGACCUCUGUUGGCCGCCGAGUGUCCCCUAGGACUGCGUGCCGCGCGCGGACAGGGUUGGGAAAUGCUGAAGUCAGAAAAUUCAAUUUAAGCAAAAGAAUGUGGAAAAGACUACAGAGAGGUGAAAUAGACUGAUAAUAUUUUUAAUCACUAUAGUUAAUUUCUUGCCCUGACUGACUGCUAUAAGAAGAAAGGAUCUGCACCCAGCCUGUAACUGCUCUUGAAAACAGCAACAAUGAGCUAGGAAGAGGAGCAACUGAUGACAAGGCCAUGGGGAACAUGCAUGGGGAGCCAUCGCUGGUAAUCACUUGUUUCUUUUAUCUGUGAUGCCUCCAAAAAGGUGUCAACAUUGCAUGCGUGAAGCUCCCAGGACAAGACCUGGCCUGCAGCAGCUACUCUCAAGCUGCUAGCCAUCGUCACUCCAGCAGAAAACACGCCAGGCAUGGCACGCUCACCCUGAUGCCAGCAACAAGUGCCAAGUGACAAAAUGUGCCUGGUGUUGGCUGGCAUGGCGACCCCCUCGUGAAGAAGUCAGGUUGCGGCUACCAGUGGCGGCUGAGGGUAACAUGGGGCAGCUUUGUGCAAGGACUGGCAACAGGCACCCAGGGAAGGUCACCAAAGCAGAGCCCGGGUCCCCGUCAAGCCCUUACCCAAGCCACGAGCAAAACCUCUUGGCUCUGCCUCCAAAACACACCCAGAAUCUGACCCCUUCUCAUCACCUUCACUGCUGUGGUCUGAGCCAUCCCAUCUCUGGACUCAAUGUAACGAUUAGGCCACGUUUUCAACAUACAAGAAGACGUGGAGCUGACUCUGAAGGUGCAGCCUGGAGAAAACAGAAACACUGAGAUGCAGGACGUACGAGAACCUUCCCUUCCUUUGCAGACAGCAGAGAAGAGAAAAGACGGCGAAGUGAGCAGCUUCCAGGGGAAUGACAGCCCGUUCAGAGAUGGCCACGGGGCUUUUCAAGAACUGACACGUCUAACACUCCGCUUGGCAGCUGUUGGCAUGGCUGCACGUAUGUUCCCUUCCGUCCCUCCAAACCUUUGCUUCUUUUUCUUUUUCGCUUUGCGUACAAUGACCUUAUAAAUGUUUCUUUUUUGGUUUCUUUGCUCUUUUCACGGUGGGCUGCAGUGAGUGGGGAAGACGGGUAAAAGGGACUGAGUUCCAAAUUUAGGCCAGCUCCACGCAGGACGGGUCGCCGUGUGCAAAAGUGCGCAAAUCCACAGCGCGGAUCGGUCAUCAGCAGCCGGCGAGGUCUGCGGCGACCUUUGGAAUCUCCCCACAUCGGGCAGGCAGAGCAGGGCCCGAGCCCCGUCUCCUGCGCAGCAGGGCAGCUGCAGCCUCCUCGACACCGAGCUACUCAGUACGUUUUUCUGAAGUGUGCAUAAAAUUGUGACUCAAAGGGACAUCUCAUCCCUACAGGAAAUAAGACAAAAAACAUUUCGACCCAAGCAAUAGCCUCUCCUCUAGCCUCAGACCUUGACCUCCCAGUUCCCUCCAUCUUCCCUCUGCUCCUUGUUCAUCGGCGACCACUCUCGCGCCCGGACCGUGUAGACGCCGGCCACGGCUCCAUCUCGGCCUCUCAUCGCCGUCUUUCGGAAACUGCAGGCUCCAGAGGAGGCAGGACGGGCCAGGAACACAGAGGCGCUGACCCGUCUUCAAGCCCGAGCGCCCGGCCUGCGCGCCACGGCCCCCACGGCCCCC